UACGAAGGGGGCUAGCGUUGCUCGGAAUUACUGGGCGUAAAGCGCACGUAGGCGGUCUUUUAAGUCGGGGGUGAAAUCCUGGAGCUCAACUCCAGAACUGCCUUCGAUACUGGAAGACUUGAGUCCGGGAGAGGUGAGUGGAACUGCGAGUGUAGAGGUGAAAUUCGUAGAUAUUCGCAAGAACACCAGUGGCGAAGGCGGCUGACUGGACAUGUAUUGACGCUGAGGUGCGAAAGCGUGGGGAGCAAACAGG
This 253-nucleotide ribosomal RNA is filed under the name uncultured bacterium. Its description in RNAcentral is "partial 16S ribosomal RNA". It matches the Rfam family "Bacterial small subunit ribosomal RNA", at positions 524 to 776 of the family's 1533-position model. The record is from RNAcentral.